Molecule: ribosomal RNA, 497 nt
Filed under: uncultured bacterium
Lineage: Bacteria
Description: partial 16S ribosomal RNA
Rfam family: Bacterial small subunit ribosomal RNA
Source: RNAcentral
GAUGAACGCUGGCGGCGUGCCUAAUACAUGCAAGUCGAGCGAACAGACGAGGAGCUUGCUCCUCUGACGUUAGCGGCGGACGGGUGAGUAACACGUGGAUAACCUACCUAUAAGACUGGGAUAACUUCGGGAAACCGGAGCUAAUACCGGAUAAUAUAUUGAACCGCAUGGUUCAAUAGUGAAAGACGGUUUUGCUGUCACUUAUAGAUGGAUCCGCGCCGCAUUAGCUAGUUGGUAAGGUAACGGCUUACCAAGGCAACGAUGCGUAGCCGACCUGAGAGGGUGAUCGGCCACACUGGAACUGAGACACGGUCCAGACUCCUACGGGAGGCAGCAGUAGGGAAUCUUCCGCAAUGGGCGCAAGCUUGACGGAGCCACGCCGCGUGAGUGAUGAAGGUCUUCGGAUCGUAAAACUCUGUUAUUAGGGAAGAACAAAUGUGUAAGUAACUAUGCACGUCUUGACGGUACCUAAUCAGAAAGCCACGGCUAACUACGUG